RNAcentral lists this ribosomal RNA (467 nucleotides) under uncultured bacterium. Its description in RNAcentral is "partial 16S ribosomal RNA". It matches the Rfam family "Bacterial small subunit ribosomal RNA", at positions 28 to 507 of the family's 1533-position model. The record is from RNAcentral.
GACGAACGCUGGCGGCGUGCUUAACACAUGCAAGUCGAACGGAAAGGCUCCAGCUUGCUGGAGUACUCGAGUGGCGAACGGGUGAGUAACACGUGGGCAAUCUGCCCUGCACUCUGGGAUAAGCCUGGGAAACUGGGUCUAAUACUGGAUAUGACCUUUCUCCUUAUGGGGUUUGGUGGAAAGUUUUUCGGUGUAGGAUGAGCCCGCGGCCUAUCAGCUUGUUGGUGGGGUGAUGGCCUACCAAGGCGACGACGGGUAGCCGGCCUGAGAGGGUGAUCGGCCACAUUGGGACUGAGAUACGGCCCAGACUCCUACGGGAGGCAGCAGUGGGGAAUAUUGCACAAUGGGCGGAAGCCUGAUGCAGCGACGCCGCGUGAGGGAUGACGGCCUUCGGGUUGUAAACCUCUUUCAGCAGGGACGAAGCGUAAGUGACGGUACCUGCAGAAGAAGCACCGGCUAACUAUGUG